UUGGGCAUUCAGGAUCUUCA
This 20-nucleotide non-coding RNA is filed under the name Arabidopsis thaliana (thale cress). The record is from RNAcentral. Lineage: Eukaryota; Viridiplantae; Streptophyta; Magnoliopsida; Brassicales; Brassicaceae.